UUGAACGCUGGCGGCAUGCUUUACACAUGCAAGUCGAACGGCAGCGGGGGCUUCGGCCUGCCGGCGAGUGGCGAACGGGUGAGUAAUGCAUCGGAACGUACCCAGUCGUGGGGGAUAACUACGCGAAAGCGUAGCUAAUACCGCAUACGUCCUGAGGGAGAAAGCGGGGGAUCUUCGGACCUCGCGCGAUUGGAGCGGCCGAUGUCGGAUUAGCUAGUAGGUGAGGUAAAGGCUCACCUAGGCGACGAUCCGUAGCGGGUCUGAGAGGAUGAUCCGCCACACUGGGACUGAGACACGGCCCAGACUCCUACGGGAGGCAGCAGUGGGGAAUUUUGGACAAUGGGCGCAAGCCUGAUCCAGCCAUGCCGCGUGAGUGAAGAAGGCCUUCGGGUUGUAAAGCUCUUUCGGCCGGGAAGAAACGGUGAGCUCUAACAUAGCUUGCUAAUGACGGUACCUGAAGAAGAAGCACCGGCUAACUACGU
Molecule: ribosomal RNA, 482 nt
Filed under: uncultured bacterium
Lineage: Bacteria
Description: bacterial SSU rRNA
Rfam family: Bacterial small subunit ribosomal RNA
Source: RNAcentral